GAGUGAGAAGAGGUGGGAGGAAGAGAAACUACGCCACCUCCCCUGCAGCCGAGUGCACGCAGCAGCCUGGCGUGACAAGUGGGCGACGCCGGGGGGCAGGGAGCCGGGGUCCUUGGCCCUGGCCGGGGACCCCACCGCCCACCGCGCGGAGGACAACUUUUAGCCGGCAGCCCAGACCAGCGCGGCACCUGUCUCCGGAGUCUCCACCGCUCCUCCCGAUUCAUCCCAGGGAAAUUCUCAAGAAUACGCUCUACAAAUCUACGUGCGCAUCAUUUUCACCUCGCGUCGCGCCCGGGAGGAAGGAACGAGGCAAGGAGCUAAAGCAGCGUGCGUUCAGCCCUGGGGAGGAAAAUGGAAGAAACGGAGAUACUUUUAGUGAAGCAGAAUAAACCACUGAACAGGAAAAAUGAGGAAGCUGUGAGUACCAGUGGAAGGAACGAGCCAGGAAGAGGGACUGGAACCAUCUCAGAAGCCAUGCCCCUCAGGCUGGAACUUGCCCUGUCUCCUCGCAGAUGAGACAGACGUUUAAGUACGAGAAAGCUAAUGGCGCAGAUUCUGCUGACUGUGUGGCUCUCGUCUUAAUGCGUUUUCCAACCUUGAACCUGAGAAUGCCAGA
Molecule: long non-coding RNA, 616 nt
Filed under: Homo sapiens (human)
Lineage: Eukaryota; Metazoa; Chordata; Mammalia; Primates; Hominidae
Description: long intergenic non-protein coding RNA, p53 induced transcript
Source: RNAcentral